This 468-nucleotide ribosomal RNA is filed under the name uncultured Rhodocyclaceae bacterium. Its description in RNAcentral is "bacterial SSU rRNA". It matches the Rfam family "Bacterial small subunit ribosomal RNA", at positions 916 to 1381 of the family's 1533-position model. The record is from RNAcentral. Lineage: Bacteria; Pseudomonadati; Pseudomonadota; Betaproteobacteria; Rhodocyclales; Rhodocyclaceae.
GACGGGACCCGCACAAGCGGUGGAUGAUGUGAUUAAUUCGAUGCAACGCGAAAACCUUACCUACCCUUGACAUGUCCGGAAUCCCGAAGAGAUUUGGGAGUGCUCGCAAGAGAACCGGAACACAGGUGCUGCGUGGCUGUCGUCAGCUCGUGUCGUGAGAUGUUGGGUUAAGUCCCGCAACGAGCGCAGCCCUUGUCAUUAGUUGCCAUCAUUUGGUUGGGCACUCUAAUGAGACUGCCGGUGACAAACCGGAGGAAGGUGGGGAUGACGUCAAGUCCUCAUGGCCCUUAUGGGUAGGGCUUCACACGUCAUACGAUGGUCGGUACAGAGGGUUGCCAACCCGCGAGGGGGAGCUAAUCCCACAAAGCCGAUCGUAGUCCGGAUCGCAGUCUGCAACUCGACUGCGUGAAGUCGGAAUCGCUAGUAAUCGUGGAUCAGCAUGUCACGGUGAAUACGUUCCCGGGUCUU